RNAcentral lists this transfer RNA (73 nucleotides) under Loxodonta africana (African savanna elephant). It matches the Rfam family "tRNA". Rfam says of the family: Transfer RNA (tRNA) molecules are approximately 80 nucleotides in length. Their secondary structure includes four short double-helical elements and three loops (D, anti-codon, and T loops). Lineage: Eukaryota; Metazoa; Chordata; Mammalia; Proboscidea; Elephantidae. The record is from Rfam by way of RNAcentral.
CCCUUGGUGGUGCAAAUGGUUAGCGUAUUUGGCUACUAACCAAAAGGUUGGAGGUUCAAGUCUACCCAGAGAU